GUAACAGACAACAUGACUCUCCAGACCCAAGAAGGAAAGCAGUGCAGUGAAGUGCUGGUGCAGGAAAUAAACAGAAGGCAAGGAGAGAAGAGAUAACUGGAGAGAGAGAGGGAGAUAACUGGAGAGAGAGAGUGAGAUGACUGGAGAGAGAGAGGGAGAUAACUGGAGAGAGAGAGUGAGAUGACUGGAGAGAGGGAGAUGACUGGAGAGAGAGAGGGAGAUGACUGGAGAGAGAGAAGGAGAUGACUGGAGAGAGAGAGGGAGAUGACUGGAGAGAG
Molecule: long non-coding RNA, 278 nt
Organism: Oncorhynchus tshawytscha (Chinook salmon)
Lineage: Eukaryota; Metazoa; Chordata; Actinopteri; Salmoniformes; Salmonidae
Source: Ensembl